UUGCCAUGAUGAUACUCUUACCCAGCUCAUUAUGAGACUACCCUCUGUGGGUAGUCAUGAUAUGUGCUUUUCCUUCGUAUCUGAGCACA
This is a small nucleolar RNA of Panicum hallii, 89 nucleotides long. The record is from RefSeq and is a predicted model, not a curated record. Lineage: Eukaryota; Viridiplantae; Streptophyta; Magnoliopsida; Poales; Poaceae.